CCUACGGGGGGCAACAGUGAGGAAUAUUGGUCAAUGGACGAGAGUCUGAACCAGCCAAGUAGCGUGAAGGAUGACUGCCCUAUGGGUUGUAAACUUCUUUUAUAUGGGAAUAAAACGUUCCACGUGUGGGAUUUUGUAUGUACCAUAUGAAUAAGGAUCGGCUAACUCCGUGCCAGCAGCCGCGGUAAUACGGAGGAUCCGAGCGUUAUCCGGAUUUAUUGGGUUUAAAGGGAGCGUAGGUGGAUUGUUAAGUCAGUUGUGAAAGUUUGCGGCUCAACCGUAAAAUUGCAGUUGAAACUGGCAGUCUUGAGUACAGUAGAGGUGGGCGGAAUUCGUGGUGUAGCGGUGAAAUGCUUAGAUAUCACGAAGAACUCCGAUUGCGAAGGCAGUUCACUGGACUGCAACUGACACUGAGGCUCGAAAGUGUGGGUAUCAAACAGGAUUAGAUACCCUAGUAGUC
This 460-nucleotide ribosomal RNA is filed under the name uncultured bacterium. RNAcentral describes it as "partial 16S ribosomal RNA". It matches the Rfam family "Bacterial small subunit ribosomal RNA", at positions 338 to 795 of the family's 1533-position model. The record is from RNAcentral.